Molecule: ribosomal RNA, 922 nt
Filed under: uncultured Gammaproteobacteria bacterium
Lineage: Bacteria; Pseudomonadati; Pseudomonadota; Gammaproteobacteria
Description: bacterial SSU rRNA
Rfam family: Bacterial small subunit ribosomal RNA
Source: RNAcentral
CCCUUAAGUUUGAUCAUGACUCAGAUUGAACGCUGGCGGUAUGCUUAACACAUGCAAGUCGAAACGGUAAACAGCAGAGCUUGCUCUGGCUGACGAGUGGCGGACGGGUGAGUAACGCGUAGGAAUCUGCCUAGUAGUGGGGGACAACUCGGGGAAACCCGAGCUAAUACCGCAUACGCCCUACGGGGGAAAGCGGGGGAUCUUCGGACCUCGCGCUAUUAGAUGAGCCUGCGUUGGAUUAGCUUGUUAGUGAGGUAAUGGCUCACCAAGGCUGCGAUCCAUAGCUGGUCUGAGAGGACGAUCAGCCACACUGGGACUGAGACACGGCCCAGACUCCUACGGGAGGCAGCAGUGGGGAAUAUUGGACAAUGGGCGAAAGCCUGAUCCAGCAAUACCGCGUGUGUGAAGAAGGCCUGCGGGUUGUAAAGCACUUUCAGUAGGGAAGAAAAGCCUGAGGUUAAUAGCCUCGGGUCUUGACGUUACCUACAGAAGAAGCACCGGCUAACUCAGUGCCAGCAGCCGCGGUAAUACUGAGGGUGCAAGCGUUAAUCGGAAUUACUGGGCGUAAAGCGCACGUAGGCGGUUUAUUAAGUCAGAUGUGAAAGCCCUGGGCUUAACCUGGGAACUGCAUUUGAGACUGGUAGGCUAGAGUAUGGUAGAGGAUAGUGGAAUUCCGGGUGUAGCGGUGAAAUGCGUAGAUAUCCGGAGGAACAUCAGUGGCGAAGGCGGCUAUCUGGACCAAUACUGACGCUGAGGUGCGAAAGCGUGGGGAGCGAACAGGAUUAGAUACCCUGGUAGUCCACGCCGUAAACGAUGUCAACUAGUUGUUGGGGGGAUUUAACCCUUUAGUAACGUAGCUAACGCGAUAAGUUGACCGCCUGGGGAGUACGGCCGCAAGGUUAAAACUCAAAUGAAUUGACGG